AUUAGAGUUUGAUCCUGGCUCAGGACGAACGCUGGCGGCGUGCUUAACACAUGCAAGUCGAACGGUGACGAGGAGCUUGCUCCUCCGAUCAGUGGCGAACGGGUGAGUAACACGUGAGUAACCUGCCCCAGACUCUGGGAUAACAGUUGGAAACAGCUGCUAAUACCGGAUACGAGACGGAGAGGCAUCUCUACCGUCUGGAAAGUUUUUCGGUCUGGGAUGGACUCGCGGCCUAUCAGCUUGUUGGUGAGGUAAUGGCUCACCAAGGCGACGACGGGUAGCCGGCCUGAGAGGGCGACCGGCCACACUGGGACUGAGACACGGCCCAGACUCCUACGGGAGGCAGCAGUGGGGAAUAUUGCACAAUGGGCGAAAGCCUGAUGCAGCGACGCCGCGUGAGGGAUGACGGCCUUCGGGUUGUAAACCUCUUUCAGCAGGGAAGAAGCGAAAGUGACGGUACCUGCAGAAGAAGCACCGGCUAACUACGUGCCAGCAGCCGCGGUAAUAAU
Molecule: ribosomal RNA, 509 nt
Filed under: uncultured bacterium
Lineage: Bacteria
Description: bacterial SSU rRNA
Rfam family: Bacterial small subunit ribosomal RNA
Source: RNAcentral